RNAcentral lists this ribosomal RNA (484 nucleotides) under uncultured bacterium. RNAcentral's name for it is "partial 16S ribosomal RNA". It matches the Rfam family "Bacterial small subunit ribosomal RNA", at positions 30 to 507 of the family's 1533-position model. The record is from RNAcentral.
AUUGAACGCUGGCGGCAGGCCUAACACAUGCAAGUCGAGCGGAUGAAGGGAGCUUGCUCCUGGAUUCAGCGGCGGACGGGUGAGUAAUGCCUAGGAAUCUGCCUGGUAGUGGGGGAUAACGUCCGGAAACGGGCGCUAAUACCGCAUACGUCCUGAGGGAGAAAGUGGGGGAUCUUCGGACCUCACGCUAUCAGAUGAGCCUAGGUCGGAUUAGCUAGUUGGUGGGGUAAAGGCCUACCAAGGCGACGAUCCGUAACUGGUCUGAGAGGAUGAUCAGUCACACUGGAACUGAGACACGGUCCAGAAUCCUAAGGGAGGCAGCAGUGGGGAAUAUUGGACGAUGGGCGAAAGCCUGAUACAGCCAUGCCGCGUGUGUGAAGAAGGUCUUCGGAUUGUAAAGCACUUUAAGUUGGGAGGACGGGCAGUAAGUUAAUACCUUGCUGUUUUGACGUUACCAACAGAAUAAGCACCGGCUAACUUCGUG